Non-coding RNA from Mycena latifolia, 94 nucleotides. Lineage: Eukaryota; Fungi; Basidiomycota; Agaricomycetes; Agaricales; Mycenaceae. The record is from the annotation of a GenBank genome assembly.
GCGUCCUUGGUGUAGCGGUAACACACCGCCCUGAAUUCAUAGCCUUCUCCUGUUUUCUACGGCGAAGUCCGGGGUUCGAGCCCCCGAGGACACA